RNAcentral lists this unclassified non-coding RNA (214 nucleotides) under Hevea brasiliensis (rubber tree). Lineage: Eukaryota; Viridiplantae; Streptophyta; Magnoliopsida; Malpighiales; Euphorbiaceae. The record is from RNAcentral.
GAAAAACUAAAAUCCACGCAUACAACUUUACAGAGUCAGAGAAGUAUUAAAUCAGCACCUGAGGUUGUCGAAAAGGAAACCUGCACUGAAGUGCUGGCAUUAUGCAAUGGUUAUAAAGACAAUAAAUUGCAAAGACAACCUGGUAAUAUGUCAGGAUCAAGUACUUCAAACCAAGUUGAAAAAGACGUAUUCUCAAGGACAGGGUCAUCCAAAA